Molecule: ribosomal RNA, 497 nt
Filed under: uncultured bacterium
Lineage: Bacteria
Description: partial 16S ribosomal RNA
Rfam family: Bacterial small subunit ribosomal RNA
Source: RNAcentral
GAUGAACGCUGGCGGCGUGCCUAAUACAUGCAAGUCGAGCGAACAGAUAAGGAGCUUGCUCCUUUGACGUUAGCGGCGGACGGGUGAGUAACACGUGGGUAACCUACCUAUAAGACUGGGAUAACUUCGGGAAACCGGAGCUAAUACCGGAUAACAUUUGGAACCGCAUGGUUCUAAAGUGAAAGAUGGUUUUGCUAUCACUUAUAGAUGGACCCGCGCCGUAUUAGCUAGUUGGUAAGGUAACGGCUUACCAAGGCGACGAUACGUAGCCGACCUGAGAGGGUGAUCGGCCACACUGGAACUGAGACACGGUCCAGACUCCUACGGGAGGCAGCAGUAGGGAAUCUUCCGCAAUGGGCGAAAGCUUGACGGAGCAACGCCGCGUGAGUGAUGAAGGGUUUCGGCUCGUAAAACUCUGUUAUUAGGGAAGAACAAACGUGUAAGUAACUGUGCACGUCUUGACGGUACCUAAUCAGAAAGCCACGGCUAACUACGUG